UCUGGUCCUUGUGUGCCCGCCGCCGCGGUCCUACGUAGGGAGCGCGCGUUGUCCGGAAUUACUGGGUGUAAAGGGAGCGUAGGCGGGAUCGCAAGUCAGAUGUGAAAACUAUGGGCUUAACCCAUAAACUGCAUUUGAAACUGUGGUUCUUGAGUGAAGUAGAGGUAAGCGGAAUUCCUAGUGUAGCGGUGAAAUGCGUAGAUAUUAGGAGGAACAUCAGUGGCGAAGGCGGCUUACUGGGCUUUAACUGACGCUGAGGCUCGAAAGCGUGGGGAGCAAACAGG
Molecule: ribosomal RNA, 284 nt
Filed under: Ruminococcus champanellensis 18P13 = JCM 17042
Lineage: Bacteria; Bacillati; Bacillota; Clostridia; Eubacteriales; Oscillospiraceae
Description: partial 16S ribosomal RNA
Rfam family: Bacterial small subunit ribosomal RNA
Source: RNAcentral